ACCCGCUGAACUUAAGCAUAUCAAUAAGCGGAGGAAAAGAAACCAACCGGGAUUACCUCAGUAACGGCGAGUGAAGCGGUAACAGCUCAAAUUUGAAAUCUGGCUCCUGCGGAGUCCGAGUUGUAAUUUGUAGAAGAUGCUUUGGGAGGUAGGGCCGGCCUAAGUUCCUUGGAACAGGACAUCAGAGAGGGUGAGAAUCCCGUAUGCGGCCGCGGCCUACGCCCGUGUAAAGCUCUUUCGACGAGUCGAGUUGUUUGGGAAUGCAGCUCAAAAUGGGUGGUAAAUUUCAUCUAAAGCUAAAUAUUGGCCAGAGACCGAUAGCGCACAAGUAGAGUGAUCGAAAGAUGAAAAGCACUUUGGAAAGAGAGUUAAACAGUACGUGAAAUUGUUGAAAGGGAAGCGCUUGCACCCAGACUUGGGCGUCGUCGAUCAUCCGAGGUUCUCCUCGGUGCACUCGACGAUGCACAGGCCAGCAUCGGUUUGGGUGGUUGGAGAAAGGCUCUAGGAACGUAGCUCUCUUCGGGGAGUGUUAUAGCCUAGGGCGUAAUGCAGCCCAUCCGGACCGAGGACCGCGCCUUCGGGCUAGGAUGCUGGCGUAAUGGUUGCAAGCGACCCGUCUUGAAACACGGACCAAGG
Molecule: ribosomal RNA, 636 nt
Filed under: Golovinomyces monardae
Lineage: Eukaryota; Fungi; Ascomycota; Leotiomycetes; Helotiales; Erysiphaceae
Description: partial large subunit ribosomal RNA
Rfam family: Eukaryotic large subunit ribosomal RNA
Source: RNAcentral